This 614-nucleotide long non-coding RNA is filed under the name Gossypium raimondii (Peruvian cotton). Its description in RNAcentral is "long non-coding RNA (GRAI_LNC000740)". The record is from RNAcentral. Lineage: Eukaryota; Viridiplantae; Streptophyta; Magnoliopsida; Malvales; Malvaceae.
UACAACAGGCCCAAAACGGCCCGGAUUCUAAACGGCCCAAGGGGGCCCAAAGACUAGGCAAGCGCAGGGAACCCUAGGGUUCCCUCUCCUUUGCGUCGCUCCUCCUCGGGCGCAACGCCCACGCCUCGUCCCGAGGCCUGCCCAGCCUCCAUUGACACUAAAAUAGCAAUCCUCUCCGUUGACCCCCGACACCUGCAAAAAAGACCAAAAGAAGCAGCACAGAAACGGCAACGAGAAGACAGAAACAAAAGCAAAACAUAGAAAAGAAAAUAGCAAACAGUAACAUGGACCAACAAUGUAAUCGUGGCUAUAAAAGCCACUAAAAUAACCUUGUAAAAAAGGGGGGAUCAAUCGAAUAGAAAAGGAGAGCAAAAGUCAAUCAAAAAAAAGGUUGAUAGUCUCUUUUAUCUUCAAGUUUCUACUCCUGUUUUUUAAUUUUUAUUUUUUUUCGAAUAUUAUUAUAAGUAUAAAGAGGAAAAGGGGUUAAAACGUACUUGGGGGUUGGGUCGUGCGCCGUCGACGGAGGUCCCCUCCGUUCGUCAAGGUCACGAAAGCCCUUCGAGGGUUCGUUCGUGUUGCAACCGGGGACAAAGGCCGAAAGGCCAUUUCCUUUU